This 515-nucleotide ribosomal RNA is filed under the name uncultured bacterium. Its description in RNAcentral is "partial 16S ribosomal RNA". It matches the Rfam family "Bacterial small subunit ribosomal RNA", at positions 28 to 523 of the family's 1533-position model. The record is from RNAcentral.
GAUGAACGCUGGCGGCGUGCCUAAUACAUGCAAGUCGAGCGAAUGGAUUAAGAGCUUGCUCUUAUGAAGUUAGCGGCGGACGGGUGAGUAACACGUGGGUAACCUGCCCAUAAGACUGGGAUAACUCCGGGAAACCGGGGCUAAUACCGGAUAACAUUUUGAACCGCAUGGUUCGAAAUUGAAAGGCGGCUUCGGCUGUCACUUAUGGAUGGACCCGCGUCGCAUUAGCUAGUUGGUGAGGUAACGGCUCACCAAGGCAACGAUGCGUAGCCGACCUGCGAGGGUGAGCGGCCGGACUGGGUCGGAGACACGGCCCAGACUCCUACGGGAGGCAGCAGUAGGGAAUCUUCCGCAAUGGACGAAAGUCUGACGGAGCAACGCCGCGUGAGUGAUGAAGGCUUUCGGGUCGUAAAACUCUGUUGUUAGGGAAGAACAAGUGCUAGUUGAAUAAGCUGGCACCUUGACGGUACCUAACCAGAAAGCCACGGCUAACUACGUGCCAGCAGCCGCCGUAA